UCCUCCUCGUUUUGCUGAGGAAGAUUGGCCUUGAGCUAACAUCCAUGCCCAUCUUCCUCUACUUUAUAUGUGGGAUGCCUGCCACAGCAUGGCUUGAUGAGCAGUGCGCAGGUCCGCACCUGGGAUCCAAACCAGCGAACCCCAGGCUGCUGAAGCAGAGAACACGAACUUAACCACUACACCACCAGCUGGCCUCUGGAAAAACAUUCAAAGCAGAGGGAACACAAGCAACGAAGACCUGUGCAAAAAAUGCGUGGCAUCUUUGGGAAUUGGUUUUCCCUGGGAAGCUAACAUUGUCAACGCUAAAACUUUUGAAGAUUAUGCCAAGAGGCUAUUUGUUUAUUUGAGGGAACUGCAGGAGUAGAUUGCGGCCGUAUCGGGCGUGUUCCUCUAGGAUGUUAUAGCUGGAUGAUGUUUGAAGAGUUUUCAAAAAAAUUUUAUUUGACUUUUGAGUUCUUACUGAUACUCUUUCAUGCCAUUUUUGUUAUUUGGAAGUGGUUGGUAUCUUUUUUUCCCCUUUGAUGAGAACAACAAAUCUGACAUAACUGUCGAGCUGGGACCUGUCAAGGUGCUCAUUAGGACACUCACAGCUGUUGUAAGCUCUAAGCGAAAGACAUGAGGCCUAAGACUGAAAUGAGGUUGUUUUGAGGCCAUCUGAUUUCUGACUAGAAGGUGUGCGAUCGCCUCGUCCUGAAACCACUUCAAACAGAAUGGUUUGCAAUUUUUUUUGGUGAUGGCAUGUUCAGAAUCUUGGAUCCCUAAGUUGAAUAUAUUGGAAAUAUUUAGGAACCUUGGAAAUUGUUUUUGUAUGCAUAAUGACUUACUAGGUGGAUCAGUAGGCUUAAUCAAAAGUAUAUAAAAGAGUUCUCUCUCGCCUCUGAAAGGAGCGUCAAAUCUCGAAGGACGCUUACUGCUUUACACAUUGAACUGAAGCUCCUGUCCCGAGCUUUGUCAUGUAAUGGAGCAGAAAUCCUCUGCACAGGGCCCUCAGCGUCCAGGUGCUGAGAACAGAGCCCGAGACGUUGAGGGGUGGCACUGCCCUCCUCGUAAGACCUGCGCCUGCUGGUUUAGGGGUGUUUGUUUCAUAGUCAAGUUGAAUGUUAAUGUUUUCUUUUUAAAAAUGAGCAUAUUUCUUCUAUAUUUUUUAUUAUUAUAAAUGUUUUUUUUUUACCUAACUGUGACUUUUUCUCAUGUCUUAAGAUAUCAAAUUCAUGGUGUAAAAUGUGUACUUUAGAUUAACAUAGUGACUGGAAAUUUAGGAUUCUGUUAUUUUUUGACUGAAAUUUGUAGCACAUUUUCGAGAAGAUUGUUCAGAUCCCCAGAUAAUUGGUUCUUUAUUCCUUUCAAGUUUCCUAAAUGUAUAAUUACUUCAGAAUUUUAUUAAUCCAUUUAUAAGUUUAGAGAAAGCUGUCUUCAGUUUAUAUUUUGACACAGAAUGGAUGUGUUUGAUUUAUCUUAUUCGGAAUAUGUUUUGACAAAAGUUUGCUUUCAAGUAGCUCUCAUCUUCGUUUUGGAAUCUCAGAUCACCUGCUUGUAAUCACUCAUUGGGACUUUUCUGCAAAAUACAGCUUCACUGAGAAGGUCGUCCUUGGAAAAUCAAGAAUUGGGACUGAGUGGAGAGAUGGAAGAGCGUCAUCAGAUUGAGCCCAGCACGUUCUGGAAACGUUAGACUGCAUUGCCUUUGUACAUGGACCAUAAUGUGACUGUCUUUUGUGAAUUGGACCUAUAGACAGAUAAAAUAACCUCGUAAAAUGUACCUUUACUGUAAGAAGAACACCACU
Molecule: long non-coding RNA, 1781 nt
Organism: Equus asinus (donkey)
Lineage: Eukaryota; Metazoa; Chordata; Mammalia; Perissodactyla; Equidae
Source: Ensembl